This 375-nucleotide ribosomal RNA is filed under the name uncultured bacterium. RNAcentral's name for it is "bacterial SSU rRNA". It matches the Rfam family "Bacterial small subunit ribosomal RNA", at positions 521 to 896 of the family's 1533-position model. The record is from RNAcentral.
UAAGACGAACCGUGCGAACGUUGUUCGGAAUCACUGGGCUUAAAGGGCGCGUAGGCGGCUCGCCAAGUCAGGGGUGAAAUCCUCCAGCUCAACUGGAGAAGUGCCUUUGAUACUGGCGAGCUCGAGCGAGGUAGGGGCGGGUGGAACUUCCGGUGGAGCGGUGAAAUGCGUUGAUAUCGGAAGGAACGCCGGUGGCGAAAGCGACCCGCUGGACCUCUUCUGACGCUGAGGCGCGAAAGCUAGGGUAGCGAACGGGAUUAGAUACCCCGGUAGUCCUAGCCCUAAACGAUGGGUACUAGAUAGUGGACUUGCAUGGGUUCACUGUCGAAGCAAAAGUGAUAAGUACCCCGCCUGGGGAGUAUGGUCGCAAGGCUG